UGCAGUCGAACGCGCAGCGAGAGGUGCUUGCACCUUUCAAGCGAGUGGCGAACGGGUGAGUAACACGUGGAUAACCUGCCUCAAGGCUGGGGAUAACAUUUGGAAACAGAUGCUAAUACCGAAUAAAACUUAGUAUCGCAUGAUACAAAGUUGAAAGGCGCUACGGCGUCACCUAGAGAUGGGUCCGCGGUGCAUUAGUUAGUUGGUGGGGUAAAGGCCUACCAAGACAAUGAUGCAUAGCCGAGUUGAGAGACUGAUCGGCCACAUUGGGACUGAGACACGGCCCAAACUCCUACGGGAGGCUGCAGUAGGGAAUCUUCCACAAUGGGCGAAAGCCUGAUGGAGCAACGCCGCGUGUGUGAUGAAGGCUUUAGGGUCGUAAAGCACUGUUGUAUGGGAAGAAAUGCUAGAAUAGGGAAUGAUUUUAGUUCGACGGUACCAUACCAGAAAGGGACGGCUAAAUAC
This 465-nucleotide ribosomal RNA is filed under the name uncultured bacterium. RNAcentral's name for it is "bacterial SSU rRNA". It matches the Rfam family "Bacterial small subunit ribosomal RNA", at positions 56 to 504 of the family's 1533-position model. The record is from RNAcentral.